GACGAACGCUGGCGGCGUGCCUAAUACAUGCAAGUCGAGCGAAGUUUUUCUGGUGCUUGCACUAGAAAAACUUAGCGGCGAACGGGUGAGUAACACGUAAAGAACCUGCCUCAUAGACUGGGACAACUAUUGGAAACGAUAGCUAAUACCGGAUAACAGCAUUAACUGCAUGGUUGAUGUUUAAAAGUUGGUUUUGCUAACACUAUGAGAUGGCUUUGCGGUGCAUUAGCUAGUUGGUGGGGUAAAGGCCUACCAAGGCGACGAUGCAUAGCCGACCUGAGAGGGUGAUCGGCCACACUGGGACUGAGACACGGCCCAG
Molecule: ribosomal RNA, 319 nt
Filed under: uncultured bacterium
Lineage: Bacteria
Description: bacterial SSU rRNA
Rfam family: Bacterial small subunit ribosomal RNA
Source: RNAcentral